GCCUAUGGCCAUGCCACCCUGAACAUGCCCAAUCCCGUCUGAUCUCAGAAGCUAAGCAGGGUUGAACCUGGUUAGUACUUGGAUGGGAGACCACCUAGGAAGACCAGGUGCUGUAGGCA
RNAcentral lists this ribosomal RNA (119 nucleotides) under Pteropus alecto (black flying fox). The record is from RNAcentral. Lineage: Eukaryota; Metazoa; Chordata; Mammalia; Chiroptera; Pteropodidae.